UUAACUCAAAUUUAUAUGGAAAGCUUGCCUACGUUUGCCGCUAGGGGCGCCGUUCCAACUCCAUACAAAUUUGAGUUA
Molecule: microRNA precursor, 78 nt
Filed under: Bombyx mori (domestic silkworm)
Lineage: Eukaryota; Metazoa; Arthropoda; Insecta; Lepidoptera; Bombycidae
Description: mir-2807 microRNA precursor family
Rfam family: mir-2807 microRNA precursor family
Source: Rfam by way of RNAcentral